UACAGAGGGUGCAAGCGUUCAUCGGAAUUACUGGGCGUAAAGCGUGCGUAGACGGUUGCGUAAGUCAGAUGUGAAAGCCCCGGGCUCAACCUGGGAAUUGCAUUUGAGACUGCGUAGCUAGGGUGCGGAAGAGGGAAGCGGAAUUUCCGGUGUAGCGGUGAAAUGCGUAGAUAUCGGAAGGAACACCAGUGGCGAAAGCGGCUUCCUGGUCCAGCACCGACGUUCAGGCACGAAAGCGUGGGGAGCAAACAGG
Molecule: ribosomal RNA, 253 nt
Filed under: uncultured bacterium
Lineage: Bacteria
Description: partial 16S ribosomal RNA
Rfam family: Bacterial small subunit ribosomal RNA
Source: RNAcentral